Molecule: ribosomal RNA, 80 nt
Filed under: Eutreptiella gymnastica
Lineage: Eukaryota; Euglenozoa; Euglenophyceae; Eutreptiales; Eutreptiaceae
Description: partial Eukaryotic large subunit ribosomal RNA
Source: RNAcentral
CCCAACCCCAUCGUCAUCCUUGCCAGUCGGUCCUUCGUCAGGGGAGCCCCCACCUACCGGCGUUGACAUGUCACGAGGCC